CACGCGUUCUCUCCUCCUCGUCCGCUCGUUUAACGGACGUUGCUUUCUCCCCCAAAUUAUUCAUUACCAAAUACUCCAAUUAUUUUUCUCUUCUCGAUCUUCCUUUAGGGUUUCAAUUUCAUUGCUUUGUUCAGUCAAUUCGGUUUACGCUUGCUGAUUUCGGGAUCCACUUUUCAUUCUCGAUUCCGCAGGUAGAUUUAUUGAGGCUGAUGUUUGAGCACUUCGAGCUUCUUAGUUUUUUUUUCUUCUUCUUAAUUCUAUCAGUUUAGAUUUUCUGACUUGUGUGGAUUUCUUGUACGAUUCUCUAGAUGUUUGAUUUUUAUUUUAUUGCGUG
RNAcentral lists this unclassified non-coding RNA (334 nucleotides) under Hevea brasiliensis (rubber tree). Lineage: Eukaryota; Viridiplantae; Streptophyta; Magnoliopsida; Malpighiales; Euphorbiaceae. The record is from RNAcentral.